Molecule: long non-coding RNA, 402 nt
Filed under: Olea europaea (common olive)
Lineage: Eukaryota; Viridiplantae; Streptophyta; Magnoliopsida; Lamiales; Oleaceae
Description: long non-coding RNA (OEUR_LNC007213)
Source: RNAcentral
UCUUGUAGGGAAUGGGAUCUGUUGAAACGAAAUUAUGGAAGGCAGUUGAGGCGGUGGAUGAGCCUUUUAUCACAAGUGAGGAAGUAGAUUUUGAUUCUGUUAUAUCUCCAGUCCAUUCUUUGUUAUUGAAGGCGGUUGAAAUGCCAGUUGAACCACAGUUAAUAGCUAUAUCCCCUGUGGGGUAAUUAUCUGCGGAAUGAACUGCUAAGGUGCAAAGAAGAGGAUAAAGGAAGAAGAAGACUAGAUUAAACAUUUGGGAUAAACUGGAGGGAGGGGAUGCUGAUGACAUGUUUGGUAUAGAAAUGGAUGGCGUUGAGGAAAAGAAAAAAAGCUCAAACUUUUCCAGUCCUCUCUGCUAAAGAAAGGCAACAAGCAGUUUGUUUUGUCAAAGUCAAUUCUCCC